This 254-nucleotide ribosomal RNA is filed under the name uncultured bacterium. Its description in RNAcentral is "partial 16S ribosomal RNA". It matches the Rfam family "Bacterial small subunit ribosomal RNA", at positions 524 to 776 of the family's 1533-position model. The record is from RNAcentral.
UACAGAGGUCUCAAGCGUUGUUCGGAAUUACUGGGCGUAAAGGGCGCGUAGGCGGCGCGAUAAGUUGGGCGUGAAAGGCCCGGGCUCAACCCGGGGACUGCGCUUGAUACUGUCGCGCUGUGAGUCCGGGAGAGGAUGGCGGAAUUCCCAGUGUAGAGGUGAAAUUCGUAGAUAUUGGGAAGAACACCGGUGGCGAAGGCGGCCAUCUGGACCGGCACUGACGCUGAGGCGCGAAAGCGUGGGGAGCAAACAGG